UUAACCUUUGAGCAUAUCAGUAUUGAUCGCCCGAGACUCGUUCGCAUUUCACGAUCACCAGCGGUCUGAUCCACCGCAAAGAGGGUGUUCUUUUCCGAAAAAGUGGUUUGAUGUGCCAGCCCAUGAGCCCAGCGGUCGGGACUGGGUUAUAUGCAGCCUAUGAGCCCAGCGGUCAGAACUGGGUGCCCAGCGGUCAGAACUGGGUUAUAUACAGGUAGAGUGGCAGUGGGCAUGGGCCUGAGGUCUACGGACCAAUAGGGCAGUUUUCAGAUUGGGUAUUUUUGGACUUGUCGUCUGGUUGACGCAUAUGACUAUAGUAGCGGUUGUUGCUUGCAUACUUACAGUUCUUUCUUUACAGUUGUCUUGCUACCAUAGUUGAUAUCCAUGUAUGCAUUUAGUUCUUCCUUACAGUAGCGGUAGUUGUGUUUUCAUAUAUACAUAUAUAUAUUCGUUCAUUAUCGUUGCUACUGUAUUUCACUUACCCAUACUGUUGUUUAUCUCUUCCUGAUCCGGUGAGUACUCCUCGCCUUCAUCGGCUUGCGGUACCCACUGGGAGGGGAGACAUGUUUACAUGUUCUCACCUCCCCCACCAUUUUUCAGGUAUUGCGGGCGGUGACGGUUGAGACGAGAUGUGAGACACGUUCGUAGUUGUCGCUAGAGCUUUCGAUCCGGUUUGUUCAGUUCAGCUACUACCCUCUUUAUUUCUGUUGACAUAUCUUAGACAUAUGGUUCAGUUGGUUUUGUUUACUUGGAUAUAUAUAUAAACAUGGUUUUGUGAAGUUAAUUAAAACACGUGGUUUCAUGUAAAAUAAGGAUAUAUGAUUUUGUGAAAAGGAAAAAAAAUUUUACCCCUCGUGGUAGCGUGUUUUAAAAAGAAAAGGUUUCCGCGUGGGAAACAGCUUUCAAAAGAGUUUUCUCAUGGUUUUCUUGAAUUACUUCAAAAUAAGUUUUCUGGUAGGAAACGUUUCAACUGAUAGUUGUGGAUUUAUAAUCAGAUCUCUGUUUAUGAACCGUGGUGAAUGGUGUAUGGAUAUUGCAUGUAGGAUGACUUGUAUAUUCAUUUAGUUGUGGUUAUAUCCUGUUUUACAUCUUGUACUUGUGCGACGCCGUGCAAAUACAGAGGAGACUCUGUCCGUGUGAACAGUGGAAUCCCUGGUAUUUGUGGCGGAUCUGGCAUACCCUGGGGUCAGGUUUUCAAAAAAAAAAAAUUUCUAGUCACUUCCGCUUUAUUUUCAAACUAAAAGGGACCCCGAGGCGUGACAUAUUUCUUUCCUGCAUUUAGUGUUAUUUAAAUAAAUGGUUCAGUUAGAUAAUUCCUAUGAAUGUUUGAAUGUUUGUGAACUGGUUUUAACUUGAUGAUUUACUGAUGCAUGAGAUUAGAGAUUUGUGGAUCCGUGGUUUUGGUUAUAUAGAUAUUUGGUUCUCGUAUUUAUGGAUUUACGCAUUGUGGUUUUCUACCCCUCAUGGUAGUCGAUUUUCAAAAUAAAGUUUUCGUAUGGGAAACAGUUUUAAAAAGGGUUUUUCGAAUGUUUUAUGGAUGAUUAUAUAGAUUUCAAAAACAAAGC
RNAcentral lists this long non-coding RNA (1565 nucleotides) under Ananas comosus (pineapple). RNAcentral's name for it is "long non-coding RNA (ACOM_LNC043215)". The record is from RNAcentral. Lineage: Eukaryota; Viridiplantae; Streptophyta; Magnoliopsida; Poales; Bromeliaceae.